This 253-nucleotide ribosomal RNA is filed under the name uncultured bacterium. RNAcentral's name for it is "partial 16S ribosomal RNA". It matches the Rfam family "Bacterial small subunit ribosomal RNA", at positions 524 to 776 of the family's 1533-position model. The record is from RNAcentral.
UACAGAGGUCCCAAGCGUUGUUCGGAAUUACUGGGCAUAAAGGGUGCGUAGGUGGCUUGUUAAGUCAGGGGUGAAAGUUUUCGGCCCAACCGGAAAAUGGCCUUUGAUACUGGCGAGCUCGAGUGCGUGAGGGGUAACCGGAACGAGCAGUGUAGCGGUGAAAUGCGUAGAUAUUGCUCGGAAGGCCAACGGCGAAGGCAGGUUACUGGUACGCAACUGACACUGAGGCACGAAAGCGUGGGGAGCAAACAGG